Molecule: transfer RNA, 22 nt
Filed under: Stenella attenuata (bridled dolphin)
Lineage: Eukaryota; Metazoa; Chordata; Mammalia; Artiodactyla; Delphinidae
Also listed under: 1 other name
Description: partial tRNA-Glu
Source: RNAcentral
GUUGUAAUUCAACUACAAGAAC